RNAcentral lists this ribosomal RNA (365 nucleotides) under uncultured bacterium. Its description in RNAcentral is "bacterial SSU rRNA". It matches the Rfam family "Bacterial small subunit ribosomal RNA", at positions 28 to 376 of the family's 1533-position model. The record is from RNAcentral.
AGCGAACGCUGGCGGCGUACUUAACACAUGCAAGUCGAACGGGGAUCGUCGGGUUAGCAAUAAUUCGGCGGUCCUAGUGGCGCACGGGUGAGUAACACGUGGGUAACCUGCCCUUGAGUUCGGGAUACCCCCUCGAAAGGGGGCUAAUACCGGAUACGUUCCUCGGAUCGACAGGUCUGGGGAGGAAAGGUGGCGCAAGCUGCCGCUCUUGGAGGGGCUCGCGGCCUAUCAGCUAGUUGGCGGGGUAACGGCCCACCAAGGCUAUGACGGGUAGCUGGUCUGAGAGGACGACCAGUCACACGGGGACUGAGACACGGCCCCCGACUCCUACGGGAGGCAGCAGUGGGGAAUUUUCCGCAAUGGGC